Molecule: ribosomal RNA, 136 nt
Filed under: Escherichia coli
Lineage: Bacteria; Pseudomonadati; Pseudomonadota; Gammaproteobacteria; Enterobacterales; Enterobacteriaceae
Description: partial 16S ribosomal RNA
Rfam family: Bacterial small subunit ribosomal RNA
Source: RNAcentral
AAAUUGAAGAGUUUGAUCAUGGCUCAGAUUGAACGCUGGCGGCAGGCCUAACACAUGUAAGUCGAACGGUAACAGGAAGCAGCUUGCUGCUUUGCUGACGAGUGGCGGACGGGUGAGUAAUGUCUGGGAAACUGCC